CUCUGUCUCAAACAAACAAACACCAGACAGGGAGACAGAGAGAGCAGGAGGGGAGUGGGAGCUCUGGAAGGCAUCUGAGAGCCAGGCAGGGACACGCCUCUGUGGACACUGGGAGGUUCUGGGACCUUAGCUCCAGACAGGCCGGUUACUUUGUAACCCCCCACUGUGUCCUGCAGCUGAUCCUUCAGGAGAGAAGGGCUAGAGACUGGUGUUCAGGGUCAGUGAGCACAUAAACAGAUGUCCUGGGAGUCAUUUGGGAGAGAAAAAGAGGACAUCCCAGGUUUUUGUGCCCACAGGAAAGACAAUAUCACUCUCACCACAUGAUUGAAAGAGCCAAGUAUGAGAAGAUAAAUGAGGAGACGCUUGGAGAAGUACAGGGGCACCACCAACACUUAAGCCUCCAUCUUCAGGCAAGAAAGUCUGUGAUAUGAAUGAAGGGAUCAUAAAAGGCACAUGGAAUCAAAGCUUUUGGUCAACUGCCAACAAGGUACAGAGGCCCAACAGCAAUCAUCGAAUGAACUUGGAAGUGGAUCCUCUCACCCCAGUUGAGCCUUCUGAUGACUGCAGCCCUGGCUGAUGCUUGACUACAACUUCAUCAGAAAUCCUCAUGAAGAUCCAGCACCUUCCAGUUAGCCCAUCUAUGAGAAAACCAAUGCUCCGAUGAGUGCAGUGACUUCCCAUGCCUGGUAAGUGGCAGAGCUUGGAUUGACCUUCCUGUCUGUUGGAUUCCAAAGCAGAGGGACCUGGGUUCUGUUUUCCCAGCUGGAAUGUCCCCAGCUGCAGGAUGAAGGCUGAGGAAAUGGGGACAUAAAAAGGAAACCUCUUUCUCUGAUGUGUUUUCUCUCCUCCCCCCUUUUUUCAUCCCAACCACAUUAGUUAGCACUUACUACAUCUAUUGUACAUAUGUGAUUCAGGGACAAGUAGGUUUAUUAGCAACAACAUGGGAGCCUUAGGAGGGGGAUACCUGGGCUCUUGAGUGACCUUGGGCAAGUUUCUGCACUUUUCUGGGCCUCAGUUUCUUUACCUACUACAUGGCAAUAAUAAUCCCUUUCCUGCCUUCUUCACCAGGAAACCAUGAGGACGGGGUGUAAAGGGACUGUGUAAAAUGUGAAAUGUAGUGAACACUAAAAGGUGUGUUUGGACUAAGGAGCACCCCUGACCUAGGGCUCAGACCUGUACAGCCACCUCUGUACAGAGGUGAGGGCUCCCUCUCCUCUCUCACCUGGGGCUAGGUUCGGGAGGUGGACAACACUGAGUGGCAUUGAGAGCAUCAACCCACUUUCUUCAGCCUCACCCUCUCCAUGCCUUCUCUCUUAGGCCAUGCUGCAGCCCUGCUAAACUAGUGGAAAUACCCCAAGCCUGCCAGGAGGUUUCUGUCUACUUUGUCUGUGCAGUUUCUUCUGCCUUGACACCCUUCCCAACUUCUCUUCCUGGUGCAUUCCCACUCGUCUUUCAAGACUGACCUUAGAUAUCCCACUUCUAGGAUGCCUCUCCUGACCUGGCUGUAGUCCUCCUACUUCUCUUGAUUGUUGCACCUGCCCCCUGCCUGAGCUCUUGGCCUUCAGCUUCUCUUUUCCACUCAAAGCCCCCAUGGUGCAACCAGCGGCCUUUCCAAAAUGCAAAUCUUGUCAUGUCACUCCCUGCUUAAAAUAACUGGCCAAUGGAAUAAUCCAUCAAUCAGUGCUUCAGGGGUUCCUCCUUGCCCUCAGGGAAGCAUCCACACCUUCAGCUGGGUCUCCAUGCUUGGUCCCUGCUGGUCUUUCCAGCCUCUGCUCUCUUCUGUCUCCUGAUUGCCCUGCACAUGCAGUGCCCUCCAGCCACAUUGCUCUUGUCACUGUAUCUCAGACACACCUCUCUCUAUCUUUGCUCGUCCUGUUGUUUUUCCUGCCCAUUUCCACCUUGUCCACUUGAGGAAGUCCUGCCUAAUCCUUAACACCAGGUCUGAUAUAACCUCUUGGAAGCCUUCCCUAUUGGCCCCAGGAAGAGUCCUUGGCUUCCUCUUCUUCCCUCUCCUGUAUGACUACUCAUGCUUUUGUUACUGUUUGUCGUCUGUUUACACUGAGAGUUUCCUGAGUAGAGACUGUAUCUGACACAUGGUUGUGUCCCCAGCAAUGCCAGGAGAAGGGCACAGAGCAGACAUGUAGGAUAUGUGUUGCUCAUGUGAGUGGCUGAAUGAAUGAAGGAAGGAAGGGUGAAUGAAUCCAACCUUGAACCAUCACUUCUUGGCCAGCCCUAGAACUGCUGUUUCCCAGGGUAAGCCCAUUUGAUAGCCAAAGGGGAAGUAGAAGGGAGGGACUGCUCUAGGAGGGAGAAAGAAAAUCAAUAAAAAUGUAAAUCUGGUUGAGAAAAGCUGUCCCAAGCUGGCUGUGGGGAGAGAUAAGACUGGGCUGGCUGAGCCCUGGCUGACAGUGGAGGAGAGAUUGGGGACAACGGAGCUGUGGCCAGGGUAGGGCAAAGGAGGUGUGUUCCUCCCUCUGUUGUCACUUCCCCCUCCGACUCUGAUGCUCUAUGUGUUUAUGAAAUUUUUUCAGGGACAGAAGGGGAAGGGAGCUUACAAAUCCUGAUCAUCAGGUGUGGUGCCUGUGAGCAUGUACAUGAUCUUACCCGGUCCUCACAGCUUCUGGGAGAUAGGAGCUAGGCAUGCUCAACCUCACUUGCAGUGGAGAGUCUAUGCCUUUGAUUGGAUCCCCAGAGGUGGUUUUCACUUGCCCCCCAUUGCCUAUACCAUGUUGCCUUCCUGGAGUUGGUGGCCUUUGAGCUGGGCCUGGAAGAUUGGGUAGGACUUUAUGAAGUGGGGAUGGAGAGACAAGCUGUGCGAUGGGGAUGAAGAAGAUAACCCAGGUCAGAGGGAACAGCAUAAGCAAAGGUAUGUGAAGGGGAAAGAAUUCAACACCUCCAGGCAAUGGUGAGGAUGUCGCUGAGUUCUCUUUCACUUAUCUGCAUGUCAGUCAUGACCCCUGGAUGCCAGCUCCUGAUGGGUCAUCUGCCUACCCUAGAACUUCCCAGCAUCUAGCAUCCCAGACCUUCCCAGAGUCUACAAGAAAAGAAACCUAGGCAUCAGGAUGUCAGUUCUGGUCUGAGUCCUGUCCUCUGCUGACUUUACACCAGCACAAUCUAGCAGGGAGACUUAAUGUCUUCUCCUCCCAGCUUCCUGGUACAGUGUAAGAAAGUAAGCUUGCAGAUGCAAAUGCUUGUGGCUCUUCAUUGACCAGAGGCUAUAUUAGGGGAGAGGACUUCCCUGGGACCCCCACAGGGCCUGGAAAACCCCUCUGGCCCUGACUUGCUCCACCCCUUGGCUCUUGACCCAUUUCUCUCUUGGGUAACUCCUGAGUCUCCUCACCAUGUCCAGUUUGGAAGACUUUAGGCACAAGGACCUCGUCUUUUCCUUCAGAUCUUGGCUCAACCAAGAGGCGGACUCACCGUGAUGUGAAUGCAGCUUGAGCAUCCAGGACUCUCCCCAGAUCCAGGGAGGGCCUCAGCGAUGUGUUCACGUUGUCAUAUUUUUAUAAAAUUUGCAAAGGUAAGAUACUUUAACCACAAUCAAAAUUACUAUUUUCUUCCCACUCCAACUUCCCUUGUGUUUCAAUUUUCCUUUAUGUGGGAUAAUUGGAGUGGCCAUGGGCACUUCUGGGAUCUGACCAAGGGGAAGCUGAGUGGGGGACUGAUUUGAGUUGGGUUCACUGGGAUAUGUUUAUGUGGUUUUCUGAAACAGAGGAUAUAUUAAUAUUUAUGUGGUUCUCUGUGUAUAGAUAAAUCAUUGCUAGUAAUCUCUGUGUAGAGAAUAGCUUCUAGGAAUUCUACCCACUGCCCAGCUCACUUGGCAUGGUGAUAUUAAGUUGCCAUAUGCAGAGGUCAUAUCGUGAUAUGAAUGUGUGUCAUGGCACCCAGCCCAGGAAGUAUAUGGGCAGUAGACAAGAAACAGGAGAAACCAGGUUUGAAAUGUACAGAGCCAGAAGCUAGUCUGUGGAAAAUUCUUCUAAUCAUCAGGGGGAGAAAAUGUGUCUCAGAGGUUAAGCAGGGCAGUUAAUAAAAGUAUUACGCAUUUUGGGGGGAUUGUGUGAUGUAUCUGUUUUGAUUUCUUUUCUCAUUAUAGGUAAAUAUAGGUACCUUGUACCUAAUUUUAUAUUCAUAAUUUUGUAUAUUUUUCUUAAAGAGGGCUCCUCAAAUUAUAAAACCUUCAGUUCCCACAAGGUCUACACAUCCAACCUUGGCUCCAUCAUUUAUUUUCUGUGUGAUCUUGGGGAAGUCACUUGUGCUUUCUGAGCCAGUUUCCUCUUCUAUAAAAU
RNAcentral lists this long non-coding RNA (4286 nucleotides) under Homo sapiens (human). Its description in RNAcentral is "HSALNT0363787". Lineage: Eukaryota; Metazoa; Chordata; Mammalia; Primates; Hominidae. The record is from RNAcentral.